Dermacentor silvarum is the source of this 418-nucleotide long non-coding RNA. RefSeq lists it as uncharacterized. Lineage: Eukaryota; Metazoa; Arthropoda; Arachnida; Ixodida; Ixodidae. The transcript is spliced from 4 exons. The record is from RefSeq and is a predicted model, not a curated record.
ACACAUAUUCCCGCUAAAGGAUAGCUGCAAAUGCCGGGAGCAUGUACCGUGCGAAACUCAUAUUCAUAGUGGUGCUCGUUGUAGGCGCAGUUGAAUCUGGACCUGCUACCUUCAAUGACCUUCUUGAUUUCUUCAAUACUACUUCAAGAAUAUAUGUGUACGCAACUACUUAUGUGACAUAUAUUUACGACAACCCUGUAACGUGCAUCUGGUAUUCGAAGAAAUAUUUAAAUGACACGUGCUUCACGUUUAAUAUUCGGUACAAAGCUGACUGGCGUACAUAUAACAUGCCUGUUAACGCCAAACUGGGAGACGACCCUGAUGUAGGCGGCCCCUACAUGGAACCCAAUUUUUGGCCAAAAGAAACAACCUUUCGUACUAGAGAAAAAGCAAGGGACUUUUCCACAGAUAAAGGUGA